Molecule: ribosomal RNA, 248 nt
Filed under: uncultured bacterium
Lineage: Bacteria
Description: partial 16S ribosomal RNA
Rfam family: Bacterial small subunit ribosomal RNA
Source: RNAcentral
UAUGGCGACCGGCGCACGGGUGAGUAACGCGUAUGCAACUUACCUAUCAGAGGGGGAUAGCCCGGCGAAAGUCGGAUUAAUACCCCAUAAAACAGGGGUCCCGCAUGGGAAUAUUUGUUAAAGAUUCAUCGCUGAUAGAUAGGCAUGCGUUUCAUUAGGCAGUUGGCGGGGUAACGGCCCACCAAACCGACGAUGGAUAGGGGUUCUGAGAGGAAGGUCCCCCACAUUGGAACUGAGACACGGUCCAA